RNAcentral lists this ribosomal RNA (262 nucleotides) under uncultured bacterium. RNAcentral describes it as "partial 16S ribosomal RNA". The record is from RNAcentral.
GGACUACCGGGGUAUCUAAUCCUGUUCGUGCCCUGUGCCUUCGUCCUUCAGCGUCAGUUUUUACAUAAAAAAUUGCCUUCGCCUUUACCAGUCCCGCAAGUAUCAACGAAUUUCAUCUCUCCUCCAUUAGUACGAUCUUCUUAUAUAAAACUCUAGUUUUAAUUGUACUUAAAUUAGGCAAAUUAAAACCGCCUAAGUACCCUUUAAACCUAUUAAAUAUGAAUAACACUAGUCUCUUACGUAUUACCGCGGCUGCUGGCAC